Molecule: ribosomal RNA, 599 nt
Filed under: uncultured freshwater bacterium
Lineage: Bacteria
Description: bacterial SSU rRNA
Rfam family: Bacterial small subunit ribosomal RNA
Source: RNAcentral
AGAGUUUGAUCCUGGCUCAGAUUGAACGCUGGCGGCAUGCCUUACACAUGCAAGUCGAACGGCAGCACGGGUGCUUGCACCUGGGGGCGAGUGGCGAACGGGUGAGUAAUAUACUCGGAACGUACCUUAUCGUGGGGGAUAACGCAGCGAAAGCUGCGCUAAUACCGCAUACACCCUGAGGGGGAAAGCGGGGGACCGUAAGGCCUCGCGCGAUUAGAGCGGCCGAUAUCUGAUUAGCUUGUUGGUGGGGUAAAAGCCCACCAAGGCGACGAUCACUAGCUGGUCUGAGAGGACGAUCAGCCACACUGGGACUGAGACACGGCCCAGACUCCUACGGGAGGCAGCAGUGGGGAAUUUUGGACAAUGGGGGCAACCCUGAUCCAGCAAUGCCGCGUGAGUGAAGAAGGCCUUCGGGUUGUAAAGCUCUUUUGUCAGGGAAGAAACAGCAGCUCUAACACAGUCUGCGAAUGACGGUACCUGAAGAAUAAGCACCGGCUAACUACGUGCCAGCAGCCGCGGUAAUACGUAGGGUGCAAGCGUUAAUCGGAAUUACUGUGCGUAAAGCGUGCGCAGGCGGGUAUACAAGACAGGCGUGAAAU